RNAcentral lists this transfer RNA (69 nucleotides) under Gymnothorax fimbriatus (fimbriated moray). Its description in RNAcentral is "tRNA-Trp". It matches the Rfam family "tRNA". Rfam says of the family: Transfer RNA (tRNA) molecules are approximately 80 nucleotides in length. Their secondary structure includes four short double-helical elements and three loops (D, anti-codon, and T loops). Lineage: Eukaryota; Metazoa; Chordata; Actinopteri; Anguilliformes; Muraenidae. The record is from RNAcentral.
AGAAGCUUAGGAUAACUAGACCAAAGGCCUUCAAAGCCUUAAGUGGGAGUGGAACCCUCCCAGCCUCUG